RNAcentral lists this ribosomal RNA (920 nucleotides) under Coniothyrium lignorum. RNAcentral describes it as "LSU rRNA". It matches the Rfam family "Eukaryotic large subunit ribosomal RNA", at positions 34 to 971 of the family's 3401-position model. Lineage: Eukaryota; Fungi; Ascomycota; Dothideomycetes; Pleosporales; Coniothyriaceae. The record is from RNAcentral.
UUAAGCAUAUCAAUAAGCGGAGGAAAAGAAACCAACAGGGAUUGCCCUAGUAACGGCGAGUGAAGCGGCAACAGCUCAAAUUUGAAAUCUGGCGUCUUUGGCGUCCGAGUUGUAAUUUGCAGAGGGCGCUUUGGCAUUGGCAGCGGUCCAAGUUCCUUGGAACAGGACGUCACAGAGGGUGAGAAUCCCGUACGUGGUCGCUAGCCUUUACCGUGUAAAGCCCCUUCGACGAGUCGAGUUGUUUGGGAAUGCAGCUCUAAAUGGGAGGUAAAUUUCUUCUAAAGCUAAAUACUGGCCAGAGACCGAUAGCGCACAAGUAGAGUGAUCGAAAGAUGAAAAGCACUUUGGAAAGAGAGUUAAAAAGCACGUGAAAUUGUUGAAAGGGAAGCGCUUGCAGCCAGACUUGCCUGUAGUUGCUCAUCCGGGUUUUUACCCGGUGCACUCUUCUAUAGGCAGGCCAGCAUCAGUUUGGGCGGUUGGAUAAAGGUCUCUGUCAUGUACCUCUCUUCGGGGAGAACUUAUAGGGGAGACGACAUGCAACCAGCCUGGACUGAGGUCCGCGCAUCUGCUAGGAUGCUGGCGUAAUGGCUGUAAGCGGCCCGUCUUGAAACACGGACCAAGGAGUCUAACAUCUAUGCGAGUGUUUGGGUGUCAAGCCCGAGCGCGUAAUGAAAGUGAACGGAGGUGGGAACCUUUCGGGGUGCACCAUCGACCGAUCCUGAUGUCUUCGGAUGGAUUUGAGUAAGAGCAUAGCUGUUGGGACCCGAAAGAUGGUGAACUAUGCUUGAAUAGGGUGAAGCCAGAGGAAACUCUGGUGGAGGCUCGCAGCGGUUCUGACGUGCAAAUCGAUCGUCAAAUUUGGGCAUAGGGGCGAAAGACUAAUCGAACUAUCUAGUAGCUGGGUUCCUGCCGAAGUUCCC